GACGAACGCUGGCGGCGUGGAUUAGGCAUGCAAGUCGAACGGUAUCAUCCUUUCGGGGGUGAGAGAGUGGCGAACUGGUGAGUAACACGUAGGUUAUCUACCCUCAAGACGGGGACAACCCAGGGAAACUUGGGCUAAUACCGGAUGUGAGCAACUUUUAGUUGUUUGAAAGGUGGCGUAAGCUGUCGCUUGGGGAUGAGCCUGCGUCCUAUUAGUUAGUUGGUGAGGUAACGGCUCACCUAGGCAAUGAUAGGUAGGCGGCCUUAACGGGUGGUCGCCCACACUGGGAUUGAGAUACGGCCCAGACUCCUACGGGAGGCAGCAGUCGAGAAUAGUCUACAAUGGUCGGAAGACUGAUAGUGCGACGCCGCGUGAACGAUGAAUCCCUUCGGGGUGUAAAAGUUCUUUUAUAUGUGAGCAGUGCUUCUUAUAUUAACAGUAUGGGGAGAGAGAUAUUAGCAUAUGAAUAAGCAACGGCUAAACUCCGUGCCAGCAGCCGCGGUAAA
RNAcentral lists this ribosomal RNA (506 nucleotides) under uncultured bacterium. RNAcentral describes it as "bacterial SSU rRNA". It matches the Rfam family "Bacterial small subunit ribosomal RNA", at positions 28 to 524 of the family's 1533-position model. The record is from RNAcentral.